GUAAUGAGAAAAUCAAUCGGGCAGGAGUACCGGGAAGUCGUUGAAAGAAGGGUAUUCACUGUAACUGGUAAUCGCCUUGAUGAAGAGGUAUAGUGGCAACAUUUUUUCUUCUAUGGUUAAAUUUGUGCUUUUUUUCUUUCUAUUGUUUAUCUUUCUUAUAGUGUGCCUCCUUUAUAACUUUGGAACCUGGAGACAAUUGAUGGUUUAAUCGAGACAUGAAGAAUCAUGCGGAUGACAAAAUUAACUCCACAUUUGAGGCUUUUUUUUGUUAACAAAAAAUAAUAUUAUGUGCAAACAAUCAACACAUCUUUCCAAAAAAAUAUAAUCAGGUGCAAACAAUCAAAACAUGUAUGCUCAUAUUUCUAAAUAAAAUAAAAUUAACUACACAUUUAAGUUUUUGUUUUAUUUUUCCUACAAACAUAGUCAUAUUUCAGGUACAAUGACCAAGGAAGAUCAUAUAAAAAAUAAAACUUCAUUUUAGAAAAUUAAAUAAACUAACAAUGAGAUUCGAAUAUUCCUAAGAAAAAAAUGAAUAUAGGGUCUAACCUAAAAGAAAUAUUAGCCUGUUAGAUUUCAUCAAUUUAUUUUAAAAUUGUUACAGUAGGAUAAUGGUUUAAAUUUUGAAAUUUUGUUAUUAAUGUCAUGAAAUGAGAUUUGGCAUAGUAAAAAUCUCUUAUUCUAUGCAGGAAGGGUACAAUUCAAGCUAGAAAAUCCACACUAGCAGUAGAUACUCUGUAGCUAUCAAUCCAUGUACAAAACAAUGCAUGCCUUUGUAACUUUUUUUUGGCACUAUUAAACUUGAACGGGGAAAUUAAGCUUUAUUAAUAUUUCAUAUUCA
RNAcentral lists this long non-coding RNA (838 nucleotides) under Triticum aestivum (bread wheat). RNAcentral describes it as "long non-coding RNA (TAES_LNC002484)". The record is from RNAcentral. Lineage: Eukaryota; Viridiplantae; Streptophyta; Magnoliopsida; Poales; Poaceae.